This is a non-coding RNA of Anopheles gambiae str. PEST, 195 nucleotides long. It matches the Rfam family "drz-agam-2-2 ribozyme". The record is from Rfam. NCBI's taxonomy places the organism in Eukaryota, Metazoa, Arthropoda, Insecta, Diptera, Culicidae.
AGAACUUUAAGUUUCUGCAAUGGUAUGGGAUCCGAAGCCCCUCGAGGGAUAAUACAAGCUCUCCCAUCCAAUUCCUGUUUCGAUACGUCCUCGUCGUGCAGAGUGGUAACAUGUGCCUCCAUAUAUCCUAGAUUGGGUACAUGGGCUAGAUCCAACCCCUUGGGCGGAUGGUGGCACAUGGCGAACCAGGAGGGA